Hirundo rustica (Barn swallow) is the source of this 372-nucleotide long non-coding RNA. RefSeq lists it as uncharacterized. Lineage: Eukaryota; Metazoa; Chordata; Aves; Passeriformes; Hirundinidae. The record is from RefSeq and is a predicted model, not a curated record. The transcript has 3 exons.
GGGUCCCGUCCCAGGAUGUACCAACAAAUGAGGUCCUAAAACCUGGAGGAGGUUAGGAACUUACUGGCUGGGUGACACAGAGCUAUGAAGAUGCCUGAACUUAUCCUCCCAAAGACUGAGGCAAAGAAACGAGAGAUUAACUGUGAAAAAUCUUGCUUAGAACUUUUGGAGUCCUGAUGACUGCAGCACAAAUCAGAAAACUCAACACAAUUCCUUGGAGAUGUUCACCAGCAUAGAAGCUGCAAGCUAAAAGGGAAGCAGGGCCUUUACUCUUAAAUAAUUCUUAUUUAAUUCUAAUAUCUAGCAAUCAGUUGGAUGAAAAUCUCUCUUUGUUUAACAUUCAACAGCUGCUGUUCUAUUAAUGCCUCCAUA